GCAUCCCACCAAUUUCUGCAAAAGCAAGUCCAUUAAAAAUAGUCAGAACAAAGAACAUAACAUACACAGGGAGGGGAAUCGCUAACUGAUGUUAUGCAAAUCUUUUAUUUCCCUUGGUUAAUGUUAAUGCAGCAAACUUCAAUUGAGUAACAUUUAUACAUGGCUAUUUUGUCAUUAAUUAAACAUGCAUAUAGCUGUGACCCCAUGUUAAGAUCUUUCGCUCAACCACCCUAAUACUACGUGUUUGUUAUCAAACUUGAUACUUGUGAACCUCUCCAUAAAUCAUAGCAAAACUGCAACAGCCCAAAAAAUAAAAGAUGUCCUUUUUGUGCACAUAAACAUGCAUUUCUCAUCGUCCAUGCCAUAAUUUCUCAACAUACCAUACAUGCAGGUUAAUCAGUUAGCUUCAAUUUUAUCACUCUCACCCAGUCCAGAAAUAACAAUUUAGAAAACAAAUGUGUAUGCACAAAUACCUGUGUUCAUUGAUUUGAUGAAUAAUGUCAGGUUGGAGUCUUGAAGAUCAAGGACAUAAUGAUAAAAUGAUGGCCAUUGGAUUAGAAAUUGGAAAAAUAAAGAGUGGUGAAAAAGAAUUUAAGUUCACAUGUCAAAUAAACAUUUUUUUCCGUGUCAUGGCAAAAAGGUUAGAAAUUUGAAGUUAAAAAUUUUUCCUCUCCAACUCAUAAAGAAAAUAGAUUGUGGAAUUAAGAAGGCACAUACAGUUCCAGCAGAGUAAAUAUCACCCGUCCGAAACCCCUUAUUCAGGGUUUCCAAAACUGCAUUCUCAAUUCUCUUUGCAGCUUUUUCUUCCCCUAGACCAUAUUUCAAAAGCAUUGCAGCACU
This 840-nucleotide unclassified non-coding RNA is filed under the name Hevea brasiliensis (rubber tree). The record is from RNAcentral. Lineage: Eukaryota; Viridiplantae; Streptophyta; Magnoliopsida; Malpighiales; Euphorbiaceae.